GUGCUUUCAUGGGCAGCACACAUGUUAAAAUUGAGUGAUACAGAGAUUAACCUGACCCCCUUGCAAGGAUGACUCCCAAAUUUGUGAAGUGUUCCAUAUUUUU
Nannospalax galili (Upper Galilee mountains blind mole rat) is the source of this 103-nucleotide small nuclear RNA. The record is from Ensembl. Lineage: Eukaryota; Metazoa; Chordata; Mammalia; Rodentia; Spalacidae.